This 304-nucleotide ribosomal RNA is filed under the name uncultured bacterium. Its description in RNAcentral is "partial 16S ribosomal RNA". It matches the Rfam family "Bacterial small subunit ribosomal RNA", at positions 506 to 809 of the family's 1533-position model. The record is from RNAcentral.
CAGCAGUAGCCGCGGUAACACGUAGGUGGCAAGCGUUGUUCGGAUUUACUGGGCGUAAAGGGCGCGUAGGCGGGCGAAUCAGUCAGGGGUGAAAUCCCAAGGCUCAACCUUGGAACUGCCUUUGUUACUGUUUGUCUUGAGUUCGAGAGAGGUAAGCGGAACUCCGAGUGUAGAGGUGAAAUUCGUAGAUAUUCGGAAGAACACCAGUGGCGAAGGCGGCUUACUGGCCCAUUACUGACGCUGAGGCUCGAAAGCGUGGGGGGCAAACAGGAUUAGAUACCCCUGUAGUCCCUGUCUCUUAUCC